RNAcentral lists this ribosomal RNA (959 nucleotides) under uncultured bacterium. RNAcentral's name for it is "bacterial SSU rRNA". It matches the Rfam family "Bacterial small subunit ribosomal RNA", at positions 521 to 1482 of the family's 1533-position model. The record is from RNAcentral.
UAAGACGUAGGGGGCCAGCGUUGCUCGGAAUAACUGGGCGUAAAGGGUCCGUAGGCGGUGUGGCAAGUUGGGAGUGAAAUCUCUGGGCUUAACCCAGGGGCUGCUUCCAAAACUGCCGUGCUAGAGUGCGAGAGAGGUGAGUGGAAUUGCAGGUGUAGCGGUGAAAUGCGUAGAUAUCUGCAGGAACACCCGUGGCGAAGGCGGCUCACUGGAUCGCAACUGACGCUGAGGGACGAAAGCUAGGGGAGCAAACAGGAUUAGAUACCCUGGUAGUCCUAGCCCUAAACGAUCAGAACUUGGGGUGCAUCCCGUUGGGGGUGCGUCCCGUAGCUAACGCGUUAAGUUCUGCGCCCUGGGGAGUACGGUCGCAAGACUGAAACUCAAAGGAAUUGACGGGGGCCCGCACAAGCGGUGGAACAUGUGGUUCAAUUCGACGCAACGCGAAGAACCUUACCUAGGCUUGAACUGCACCGGGACAAAGCUAGAAAUAGCUCUCCCGAAAGGGCUGGUGUAGAGGUGCUGCAUGGCUGUCGUCAGCUCGUGCCGUGAGGGUGUUGGGUUAAGUCCCGCAACGAGCGCAACCCCUACCCUUAGUUGCUACCCGCAAGGGAGAACUCUAAGGGGACUGCUCCGGAUAACGGAGAGGAAGGCGGGGAUGAGGUCAAGUCAGCAUGGCCUUUAUGUCUAGGGCUACACACGUGUUACAAUGCAUGGUACAGACUGUCGCGAUCCCGCGAGGGGGAGCUAACCGGAAAAAACCAUGCUCAGUUCGGAUUGCAGUCUGCAACUCGACUGCAUGAAGCCGGAAUCGCUAGUAAUGGCGUAUCAGAACGACGCCGUGAAUACGUUCCCGGGCCUUGUACACACCGCCCGUCACAUCACGAAAGUGAGUUGUACUAGAAGUCGCUGAGCGAACCGCAAGGACGCAGGCGCCCAAGGUAUGACUCAUGAUUGGGGUG